This 69-nucleotide transfer RNA is filed under the name Dermatobranchus otome. RNAcentral's name for it is "tRNA-Ser". The record is from RNAcentral. Lineage: Eukaryota; Metazoa; Mollusca; Gastropoda; Nudibranchia; Arminidae.
UAAAUUUCUAAUUUUUGUUUUUAGAAGGGUUUUGAAAACCUUUAGAGGGAAAUAUUUUCCCAACUUUAC